UACGAACUGUGCGAACGUUAUUCGGAAUCACUGGGCUUACAGGGUGCGUAGGCGGCUUGUCAAGUAGGGUGUGAAAGCUCCCGGCUCAACUGGGAGAGGUCCUUGGAUACUGGCGAACUUGAGGGAUGCAGAGGAAAGUGGAAUUCCCGGUGUAGUGGUGAUAUGCGUAGAUAUCGGGAGGAACACCAGUGGCGAAGGCGGCUUUCUGGGCAUUUCCUGACGCUGAGACGCGAAAGCGUGGGGAGCGAACCGG
This 253-nucleotide ribosomal RNA is filed under the name uncultured bacterium. RNAcentral describes it as "partial 16S ribosomal RNA". It matches the Rfam family "Bacterial small subunit ribosomal RNA", at positions 524 to 776 of the family's 1533-position model. The record is from RNAcentral.